GUGGUCAGGAGAAAGGCUGCUGAGUGGUUGAGCCCGGUCAGCCGGGCACGGCCUUGUAGCAGUUGGCCUUGAUCCCCGACCUAGAGUAAACCCCCAGGAAAGCUCCUUUCUGGGAUUUGAACUUUGCAGUAGCAGGUGUGAGCAUUCUAGCAGCAGUUUGAUGAUCAUGUAUGAUACUGCAAACAAGA
RNAcentral lists this small nucleolar RNA (188 nucleotides) under Ornithorhynchus anatinus (platypus). RNAcentral describes it as "Small Cajal body specific RNA 16 (ENSOANG00000027291.2)". It matches the Rfam family "Small Cajal body specific RNA 16". From Rfam's summary of the family: scaRNAs are a specific class of small nuclear RNAs which localise to the Cajal bodies and guide the modification of RNA polymerase II transcribed spliceosomal RNAs U1, U2, U4, U5 and U12. ACA47 belongs to the H/ACA box class of guide RNAs as it has the predicted hairpin-hinge-hairpin-tail structure, the conserved H/ACA-box motifs and is found associated with GAR1. ACA47 is predicted to guide the pseudouridylation of residue U5 of the U1 spliceosomal snRNA. The record is from Rfam by way of RNAcentral. Lineage: Eukaryota; Metazoa; Chordata; Mammalia; Monotremata; Ornithorhynchidae.